AGCAGCCGCGGUAAUUCCAGCUCCAAUAGCGUAUAUUAAAGUUGUUGCAGUUAAAAAAGCUCGUAGUUGAAUUUUGGAUUCUUCCAAUUGGUCCAUCUUUUAGAUGAGUACUGGUUGUGUGGGGGUCUAUCCGCCUGGUGAUACGUAAUGUCCUUUAUUGGAUGUUGCGGGUAGUCAGGACCUUUACCUUGAAAAAAAUUAGAGUGUUUAAAGCAGGCUUAUGCCGGAAUACAUUAGCAUGGAAUAAUAGAAUAGGACGAAGUUGUUUUAUUUUGUUGGUUUCUAGGACAACCGUAAUGAUUAAUAGGGAUAGUUGGGGGCAUUAGUAUUCAAUUGUCAGAGGUGAAAUUCUUGGAUUUAUUGAAGACUAACUACUGCGAAAGCAUUUGCCAAGGAUGUUUUUCAUUAAUCAAGAACGAAAGUUAGGGGAUCGAAGACGAUCAGAUACCGUCGUAGUCUUAACCAUAAACUAUGCCGACUAGGGAUCGGGCGAUGUUGUUUCCAUGACUGGCUCGGCACC
RNAcentral lists this ribosomal RNA (520 nucleotides) under uncultured Archaeospora. Its description in RNAcentral is "SSU rRNA". It matches the Rfam family "Eukaryotic small subunit ribosomal RNA", at positions 569 to 1087 of the family's 1831-position model. The record is from RNAcentral. Lineage: Eukaryota; Fungi; Glomeromycota; Glomeromycetes; Archaeosporales; Archaeosporaceae.